GGCACAGGAAACGAAGUGAAUGUUUACAGCUACUUGGGGGAGUAUGAGGAUCUAGAAGCAAAGAAAAGGGAUGUAUAAUGGAGAAAGCAGCAAGAACACUAACAUUUCUGAAUAUACUUAGAGGACUCUGCUGACUGCAUCUCUUGGAAAAGAAGGAAGCAGGGCAAAGCAUGGCAGUGCUUAAAGGAACAAAGAGCAGAAGGGGCACUGACGGGAUCAGGUGUGCACGUUGUAAGUUACAGAGAACGACAACUGUAUUCAGUACUCCAGAGAUGCAGCAAUGACCUUCAGAAGGACAAAGCCUUCAAUUCUGCCACUACGUAACUGAGUUUUAGCAGAAUGUUCCAGGGACAGACUUUAACAAUAAAUAGCUAAU
Arvicanthis niloticus (Nile rat) is the source of this 376-nucleotide non-coding RNA. The record is from RefSeq and is a predicted model, not a curated record. NCBI's taxonomy places the organism in Eukaryota, Metazoa, Chordata, Mammalia, Rodentia, Muridae.